GACGAACGCUGGCGGCGUGCCUAAUACAUGCAAGUUGAGCGAUGAAGCUUGGUGCUUGCCCCAAUUUGAAGAGCAGCGAACGGGUGAGUAACGCGUGGGGAAUCUGCCUUUGAGCGGGGGACAACAUUUGGAAACGAAUGCUAAUACCGCAUAAUAACUUUAAACAUAAGUUUUAAGUUUGAAAGAUGCAAUUGCAUCACUCAAAGAUGAUCCCGCGUUGUAUUAGCUAGUUGGUGAGGUAAAGGCUCACCAAGGCGAUGAUACAUAGCCGACCUGAGAGGGUGAUCGGCCACAUUGGGACUGAGACACGGCCCAAACUCCUACGGGAGGCAGCAGUAGGGAAUCUUCGGCAAGAGACGAAAGUCUGACCGAGCAACGCCGCGGGAGUGAAGAAGGUUGUCGGAUCGUAAAACUCGGUUGGUAGAGAAGAAAGUUGGUGAGAGUGGAAAGCUCAUCAAGUGACGGUAACUACCCAGAAAGGGACGGCUAACUACGUG
Molecule: ribosomal RNA, 497 nt
Filed under: uncultured bacterium
Lineage: Bacteria
Description: partial 16S ribosomal RNA
Rfam family: Bacterial small subunit ribosomal RNA
Source: RNAcentral